Sorex araneus (European shrew) is the source of this 127-nucleotide small nucleolar RNA. RefSeq annotates it as small nucleolar RNA SNORA13. Lineage: Eukaryota; Metazoa; Chordata; Mammalia; Eulipotyphla; Soricidae. The record is from RefSeq and is a predicted model, not a curated record. The transcript has a single exon.
CGCCUUCGUGUUGCCCGUUCGCUUUGCUGCUAGUGAACGCGGUGUCAAGAGAGGCGCAGAGCAAGCCCCCGGCAGGGCUUUCCCGCCGGCGACGCCGUCCCGGCACAGGAACUGCCGAGGGACAGCC